UGUUCGGGUUGUCAUGCCAAUGGCACUGCCCGGUAGCUAAAUGCGGAAGAGAUACGUGCUGAAAGCAUCUAAGCACGAAACUUGCCCCGAGAUGAGUUCUCCCUGAGACUUUAAGUCUCCUGAAGGAACGUUGAAGACGACGACGUUGAUAGGUCGGGUGUGUAAGCGCAGCGAUGCGUUGAGCUAACCGAUACUAAUGAACCGUGAGGCUUAACCUUACAACGCCGAAGG
This 231-nucleotide ribosomal RNA is filed under the name Xanthomonas citri pv. citri. Its description in RNAcentral is "partial 23S ribosomal RNA". It matches the Rfam family "Bacterial large subunit ribosomal RNA", at positions 2713 to 2925 of the family's 2925-position model. The record is from RNAcentral. Lineage: Bacteria; Pseudomonadati; Pseudomonadota; Gammaproteobacteria; Lysobacterales; Lysobacteraceae.